RNAcentral lists this ribosomal RNA (640 nucleotides) under Psychotria zeylanica. Its description in RNAcentral is "eukaryotic LSU rRNA". The stretch from base 233 to 388 matches the Rfam family "5.8S ribosomal RNA". The record is from RNAcentral. Lineage: Eukaryota; Viridiplantae; Streptophyta; Magnoliopsida; Gentianales; Rubiaceae.
GGUUUCCGUAGGUGAACCUGCGGAAGGAUCAUUGUCGAAUCCUGCAUAGCAGACCACCGCGAACAUGUUAGAAAAUCAUGGGUUGUUGCAGGCUAGGGAAACCUCGCCUGUCGGCACUCCCACCAAACUAAACUUUCGGCGCGGAAUGUGCCAAGGAUUACUUGAAAAUAGAUUUGCCUGUAUCCCAGCGGAUUCCGCAGGGCAUGCUAGGCGUCUGAUCGCUUAACAAAAAGACUCUCGGCAACGGAUAUCUAGGCUCUCGCAUCGAUGAAGAACGUAGCGAAAUGCGAUACUUGGUGUGAAUUGCAGAAUCCCGUGAACCAUCGAGUUUUUGAACGCAAGUUGCGCCCGAAGCCAAUAGGCCGAGGGCACGUCUGCCUGGGCGUCACGCAUCUAGUCGUCACCUCAUCUCAAUGUUUCAGAGAGGAGUGACGGAUGUUGGCCUCCCGUGCCCUCGAGGUGCGGCCGGCCUAAAUUUGAGUCUUCGGCGCGAGACGUCACGACAAGUGGUGGUUGAACUCAUCAACUCGUGUGCUGUCGCGACUACGCCUGACACGGACUCCAUUGACCCUAGAGCUCUUGACCCAAAACUGAGUUACGGGCCUUCGACCGCGACCCCAGGUCAGGCGGGAUUACCCGC